This 815-nucleotide long non-coding RNA is filed under the name Malus domestica (apple). Its description in RNAcentral is "long non-coding RNA (MDOM_LNC021209)". Lineage: Eukaryota; Viridiplantae; Streptophyta; Magnoliopsida; Rosales; Rosaceae. The record is from RNAcentral.
UAUCUUAAUAAUGGUUUCGGAAACCCAUAUUAUGUUCAAACAUUGAAUCACCAUUUAGUUGUAGCUAGCAAUCUUCGAAUUAAUUGAAACUAAGACUAUCUCAAAGAUGGUUUCUUCAAAGUCAACCAUUCUCUUUGAUUGUAGUCACCUUAAGCUACCAAUUAGCUUAUGAAGGUUUCAUUAUUUCGGGUCAAAUGGUACUUUACCAUUUCCUUGAGUAUGUAUCAUAUAUACACUCAAUGUAGUCAUAAGAAUUUUCAUUCUUAUUUCUUUCGAAUUAAGAGGUGCAACUCUAUGACAUAGUCAUAAAGUUCAAACCAUUCAACUGAGACGGUUUAUAAAUCCUUCUCGACUACCUUGGAGCUUUUGGCAUAGGAACUAGGUUGUUAUAUUUGUUGAUUACUUUCUUGUCUCUCAAAGAACCCAUUCUUUGAGUUCUAUCUCUCGUUCAUUUGCAUCUUAGGCAAAUCACAUUGUAGGAUUACAAUGAACUUCCCAACAAAACAACAUUUGUUAGUUGGAUUAUAGAAACGAUAUCCAAAAGUUAAUUUAAGGAUAUCCCACAAGAUUGUUAUCAAACAAAUAUUGCUUAUUAGCACACAACCUCAAAUCUUAACAUGCUUAAGAUUUGUCUUUCUUUCCAACUACAUCUUAUGGAGUUAUGAAAAUUUUGGAAGAUCUUCUAAUUGACAAUCAUAUUGUUUUUAGAAGUAUAUAUCCUAUAUAUGGGUAAUAGAUAACAUCUAACGAACUAAAUCUUAUUUGAGUUCGUUCUUCUCCUAAUGGAGAAAUACAUUAUCUUAUGAUGCUAUUUU